AAGGUAGCAUAAUCAUUAGUUUUUUAAUUGAAAGCUGGUAUGAAUGGCUGAAUAAGAAAGUUACUGUCUCUUUUUAAUUAAAUUGAAAUUUAUUUUUAAGUUAAAAAGCUUAAAUUUUAUAGAAAGACGAGAAGACCCUAUAGAGUUUAAUAGAUUACAAUUUUUAUAGUUUAGUUUUUAAAAUUGUUUAAAUUUAUAUUUAUUUUGUUGGGGUGACAUUAAAAUUUAAAAAACUUUUUGUACUAAAAUCAUUGAUUUAUGAGUUUAUGAUCCUAAAAUUUAGAUUAAAAGAAUAAAUUACCUUAGGGAUAACAGCGUAAUUUUUUUGGAGAGUUCUUAUCAAUAAAAAAGAUUGCGACCUCGAUGUUGGAUUAAAGUUAAUUACUGGUGCAGAAGCUAGAAAAUUAAGUCUGUUCGAC
This 419-nucleotide ribosomal RNA is filed under the name Stenoria analis. Its description in RNAcentral is "partial large subunit ribosomal RNA". It matches the Rfam family "Bacterial large subunit ribosomal RNA", at positions 1953 to 2585 of the family's 2925-position model. The record is from RNAcentral. Lineage: Eukaryota; Metazoa; Arthropoda; Insecta; Coleoptera; Meloidae.